GACGAACGCUGGCGGCGUGCUUAACACAUGCAAGUCGAACGGAAAGGCCUCUUUCGGGGGGUACUCGAGUGGCGAACGGGUGAGUAACACGUGAGUAACCUGCCCUUGACUUUGGGAUAACUUCAGGAAACUGGGGCUAAUACCGGAUAGGAGCUCCUGCUGCAUGGUGGGGGUUGGAAAGUUUCGGCGGUUGGGGAUGGACUCGCGGCUUAUCAGCUUGUUGGUGGGGUAGUGGCUUACCAAGGCUUUGACGGGUAGCCGGCCUGAGAGGGUGACCGGCCACAGUGGGACUGAGAUACGGCCCAGACUCCUACGGGAGGCAGCAGUGGGGAAUAUUGCACAAUGGGCGGAAGCCUGAUGCAGCAACGCCGUGUGCGGGAUGACGGCCUUCGGGUUGUAAACCGCUUUCGCUCAUGACGAAGCUUUGUGUGACGGUAGUGGGUAAAGAAGCACCGGCUAACUACGUG
This 467-nucleotide ribosomal RNA is filed under the name uncultured bacterium. RNAcentral's name for it is "partial 16S ribosomal RNA". It matches the Rfam family "Bacterial small subunit ribosomal RNA", at positions 28 to 507 of the family's 1533-position model. The record is from RNAcentral.